GAGGAAAAGACAUGCUUCUUAAAACGUAUAAUUUCAUAUGUUUUGAAUUUGAGCUAAGAUAAGAGAAGUAAAGGAAAAGAGUAGUUGAUAUUAUUCUUAAAAUCCUCAAUUCCUUUGUUCUAAAUUUGAGCUUUGAUGAGAUCAAAAUGUAUAAAAACUAAGUAGGUGUAUGGCCAUGAAAAUUAAAAAAUUUUGGAGUUGGAAAUG
RNAcentral lists this long non-coding RNA (207 nucleotides) under Capsicum annuum. RNAcentral describes it as "long non-coding RNA (CANN_LNC002707)". Lineage: Eukaryota; Viridiplantae; Streptophyta; Magnoliopsida; Solanales; Solanaceae. The record is from RNAcentral.